This 370-nucleotide ribosomal RNA is filed under the name Robbsia andropogonis. RNAcentral's name for it is "bacterial SSU rRNA". It matches the Rfam family "Bacterial small subunit ribosomal RNA", at positions 78 to 451 of the family's 1533-position model. The record is from RNAcentral. Lineage: Bacteria; Pseudomonadati; Pseudomonadota; Betaproteobacteria; Burkholderiales; Burkholderiaceae.
GCUUGCUCCGCUGACGAGUGGCGAACGGGUGAGUAAUACAUCGGAACGUGUCCUGUAGUGGGGGAUAGCCCGGCGAAAGCCGGAUUAAUACCGCAUACGAUCUAAGGAUGAAAGCGGGGGAUCUUCGGACCUCGCGCUAUAGGGGCGGCCGAUGGCAGAUUAGCUAGUUGGUGGGGUAAAGGCCUACCAAGGCGACGAUCCGUAGCUGGUCUGAGAGGGCGACCAGCCACACUGGGACUGAGACACGGCCCAGACUCCUACGGGAGGCAGCAGUGGGGAAUUUUGGACAAUGGGCGCAAGCCUGAUCCAGCAAUGCCGCGUGUGUGAAGAGGGCCUUCGGGUUGUAAAGCACUUUUGUUCGGGAAGAAAA